GACGAGGUGGCCGAGUGGUUAAGGCGUUGGACUGCUAAUCCAAUGUGCUCUGCACGCGUGGGUUCGAACCCUAUCCUCGUCG
This 82-nucleotide transfer RNA is filed under the name Schistocerca americana (American grasshopper). RNAcentral describes it as "tRNA-Ser". It matches the Rfam family "tRNA". From Rfam's summary of the family: Transfer RNA (tRNA) molecules are approximately 80 nucleotides in length. The record is from RNAcentral. Lineage: Eukaryota; Metazoa; Arthropoda; Insecta; Orthoptera; Acrididae.